CUAAUACCCAAUGAUAUCUCUAGAAGGCAUCUGAAAGAGAUUAAAGAUUUAUCGGUGAUGGAUGGGGAUGCGUCUGAUUAGCUUGUUGGCGGGGUAACGGCCCACCAAGGCAACGAUCAGUAGGGGUUCUGAGAGGAAGGUCCCCCACAUUGGAACUGAGACACGGUCCAAACUCCUACGGGAGGCAGCAGUGAGGAAUAUUGGUCAAUGGACGAGAGUCUGAACCAGCCAAGUAGCGUGCAGGAAGACGGCCCUAUGGGUUGUAAACUGCUUUUAUAAGGGAAUAAAGUGAGUCUCGUGAGACUUUUUGCAUGUACCUUAUGAAUAAGGACCGGCUAAUUCCGUGCCAGCAGCCGCGGUAAUACGGAAGGUCCGGGCGUUAUCCGGAUUUAUUGGGUUUAAAGGGAGCGUAGGCCGGAGAUUAAGCGUGUUGUGAAAUGUAGAUGCUCAACAUCUGAACUGCAGCGCGAACUGGUUUCCUUGAGCACGCACAAAGUGGGCGGAAUUCGUGGUGUAGCGGUGAAAUGCUUAGAUAUCACGAAGAACUCCGAUUGCGAAGGCAGCUCACUGGAGCGCAACUGACGCUGAAGCUCGAAAGUGCGGGUAUCGAACAGGAUUAGAUACCCUGGUAGUCCGCACGGUAAAC
This 646-nucleotide ribosomal RNA is filed under the name uncultured bacterium. Its description in RNAcentral is "bacterial SSU rRNA". It matches the Rfam family "Bacterial small subunit ribosomal RNA", at positions 163 to 807 of the family's 1533-position model. The record is from RNAcentral.